Non-coding RNA from Microcebus murinus (gray mouse lemur), 401 nucleotides. NCBI's taxonomy places the organism in Eukaryota, Metazoa, Chordata, Mammalia, Primates, Cheirogaleidae. The record is from RefSeq and is a predicted model, not a curated record.
GCCGCGGCGUACCGGCCCGUUGUUGAAGAUCCCGAACACCUGCCCUGCUCUUGCCCCACCUGCGUCCUCUUCCCCAGCCCCUCCCUUCCCUCCCAGCCCCACGGUCCCCACCGAGCCCCAAACUAAGGCCCCCUCUCCUUACUUUUCCACGCCCGUGCAGUGAGUAAGGGCAGCAGCGGUAGGGCCAGCCUGCCAUGUACUAGAUUGGUGGCUUGAGCCCCAUAGGAUACACACUCCUGUACCAUGUGACCUGUGUGACAACAUCCCAGCCGCACCACACUCCACAGGUGUCAUAUGGAGGAAGAACAUGGCAGACACUACUAGUUGACCCCAAGAUCUGCUGUUACCUUCUCCCUGUUCUUUCCUUCUUUCUAGAAAUAAACCUACAAUUAUUAUUGUUA